Molecule: ribosomal RNA, 468 nt
Filed under: uncultured bacterium
Lineage: Bacteria
Description: partial 16S ribosomal RNA
Rfam family: Bacterial small subunit ribosomal RNA
Source: RNAcentral
GACGAACGCUGGCGGCGUGCUUAACACAUGCAAGUCGAACGGAAAGACCCUGCUUUUGUGGGGUGCUCGAGUGGCGAACGGGAGAGUAACACGUGAGUAACCUGCCCUUGACUUUGGGAUAACUUCAGGAAACUGGGGCUAAUACCGGAUAGGAGCUCCUGCUGCAUGGUGGGGGUUGGAAAGUUUCGGCGGUUGGGGAUGGACUCGCGGCUUAUCAGCUUGUUGGUGGGGUAGUGGCUUACCAAGGCUUUGACGGGUAGCCGGCCUGAGAGGGUGACCGGCCACAUUGGGACUGAGAUACGGCCCAGACUCCUACGGGAGGCAGCAGUGGGGAAUAUUGCACAAUGGGCGGAAUCCUGAUGCAGCAACGCCGCGUGCGGGAUGACGGCCUUCGGGUUGUAAACCGCUUUCGCCUGUGACGAAGCGUGAGUGACGGUAAUGGGUAAAGAAGCGCCGGCUAACUACGUG